This 492-nucleotide ribosomal RNA is filed under the name uncultured bacterium. RNAcentral describes it as "partial 16S ribosomal RNA". It matches the Rfam family "Bacterial small subunit ribosomal RNA", at positions 29 to 507 of the family's 1533-position model. The record is from RNAcentral.
AUUGAACGCUGGCGGCAUGCUUUACACAUGCAAGUCGAACGGUAACAGGCCUUCGGGUGCUGACGAGUGGCGAACGGGUGAGUAAUGCAUCGGAACGUGCCCAGAGGUGGGGGAUAACGCAGCGAAAGCUGUGCUAAAACCGCAUGUGAUCUGAGGAUGAAAGCGGGGGACCAGGCAGCAAUGUUUGGCCUCGCGCCUUUGGAGCGGCCGACGUCAGAUUAGGUAGUUGGUGGGGUAAAGGCCUACCAAGCCGACGAUCUGUAGCUGGUCUGAGAGGACGACCAGCCACACUGGGACUGAGACACGGCCCAGACUCCUACGGGAGGCAGCAGUGGGGAAUUUUGGACAAUGGGCGCAAGCCUGAUCCAGCAAUGCCGCGUGCGGGAAGAAGGCCUUCGGGUUGUAAACCGCUUUUGUACGGAACGAAAAGGCUCUGGCUAAUACCUGGGGCUGAUGACGGUACCGUAAGAAUAAGCACCGGCUAACUACGUG